GGGAAGGUGGCUCAGUGGGAGAGCACUUGCCUUGCAUGCAUGAGGCCCUGGGUUCAAUUCCUCCCUCCACA
This 71-nucleotide transfer RNA is filed under the name Dipodomys ordii (Ord's kangaroo rat). It matches the Rfam family "tRNA". From Rfam's summary of the family: Transfer RNA (tRNA) molecules are approximately 80 nucleotides in length. Their secondary structure includes four short double-helical elements and three loops (D, anti-codon, and T loops). The record is from Rfam by way of RNAcentral. Lineage: Eukaryota; Metazoa; Chordata; Mammalia; Rodentia; Heteromyidae.